RNAcentral lists this ribosomal RNA (463 nucleotides) under Vreelandella stevensii. RNAcentral describes it as "partial 16S ribosomal RNA". It matches the Rfam family "Bacterial small subunit ribosomal RNA", at positions 338 to 792 of the family's 1533-position model. Lineage: Bacteria; Pseudomonadati; Pseudomonadota; Gammaproteobacteria; Oceanospirillales; Halomonadaceae. The record is from RNAcentral.
CCUACGGGGGGCUGCAGUGGGGAAUAUUGGACAAUGGGCGAAAGCCUGAUCCAGCCAUGCCGCGUGUGUGAAGAAGGCCUUCGGGUUGUAAAGCACUUUCAGUGGGGAAGAAAGCCUUGGGGCUAAUACCCUCGAGGAAGGACAUCACCCACAGAAGAAGCACCGGCUAACUCCGUGCCAGCAGCCGCGGUAAUACGGAGGGUGCGAGCGUUAAUCGGAAUUACUGGGCGUAAAGCGCGCGUAGGCGGUCUGAUAAGCCGGUUGUGAAAGCCCCGGGCUCAACCUGGGAACGGCAUCCGGAACUGUCAGGCUAGAGUGCAGGAGAGGAAGGUAGAAUUCCCGGUGUAGCGGUGAAAUGCGUAGAGAUCGGGAGGAAUACCAGUGGCGAAGGCGGCCUUCUGGACUGACACUGACGCUGAGGUGCGAAAGCGUGGGUAGCAAACAGGAGUAGAUACCCCUGGUC